AGUGAACGCUGGCGGUAGGCCUAACACAUGCAAGUCGAACGGAAGCACAGUAAGCGCUUGCUCUUACGGGUGGCGAGUGGCGGACGGGUGAGGAAUACAUCAGAAUCUACUAUUUCGUGGGGGAUAACGUAGGGAAACUUACGCUAAUACAGCAUAUGACCUACGGGUGAAAUCAGGGGAUCUUCGCAGCUUGGCUGUCUGAAUGAGACGAUGUCGGAUUAGCUAGUCGGCUGGGUAAGGGCCCACCAAGGCAACGAUGCGUAGCUGGUCUGAGAGGAUGAUCAGCCACACUGGAACUGAGACACGGUCCAGACUCCUACGGGAGGCAGCAGUGGGGAAUAUUGGACAAUGGGCGCAAGCCUGAUGCAGCCAUACCGCGUGGGUGAAGAAGGCCUUCGGGUUGUAAAGCCCUUUUGUUAGGAAAGAAAAGCAGCAGGUUAAUACCCCGCUGUUCUGACGGUACCCAAAGAAUAAGCACCGGCUAACUUCGUG
RNAcentral lists this ribosomal RNA (492 nucleotides) under uncultured bacterium. RNAcentral's name for it is "partial 16S ribosomal RNA". It matches the Rfam family "Bacterial small subunit ribosomal RNA", at positions 29 to 507 of the family's 1533-position model. The record is from RNAcentral.